RNAcentral lists this ribosomal RNA (508 nucleotides) under uncultured bacterium. RNAcentral's name for it is "bacterial SSU rRNA". It matches the Rfam family "Bacterial small subunit ribosomal RNA", at positions 9 to 501 of the family's 1533-position model. The record is from RNAcentral.
GAGUUUGAUCCUGGCUCAGGAUGAACGCUGGCGGCGUGCCUAAUACAUGCAAGUAGAACGCUGAAGAAAGAGCUUGCUCUUUUGGAAGAGUUGCGAACGGGUGAGUAACGCGUAGGUAACCUGCCUGGUAGUGGGGGAUAACUAUUGGAAACGAUAGCUAAUACCGCAUAAUAGCUUUGAUUGCAUGAUUGAAGUUUGAAAGAUGCAACUGCAUCACUACCAGAUGGACCUGCGUUGUAUUAGCUAGUAGGUGAGGUAAGGGCUCACCUAGGCGACGAUACAUAGCCGACCUGAGAGGGUGAACGGCCACACUGGGACUGAGACACGGCCCAGACUCCUACGGGAGGCAGCAGUAGGGAAUCUUCGGCAAUGGGGGCAACCCUGACCGAGCAACGCCGCGUGAGUGAAGAAGGUUUUCGGAUCGUAAAGCUCUGUUGUAAGAGAAGAACGUGUGUGAGAGUGGAAAGUUCACACAGUGACGGUAACUUACCAGAAAGGGACGGCUAAC